This 415-nucleotide ribosomal RNA is filed under the name Streptomyces sp. MBT34. Its description in RNAcentral is "bacterial SSU rRNA". It matches the Rfam family "Bacterial small subunit ribosomal RNA", at positions 99 to 527 of the family's 1533-position model. The record is from RNAcentral. Lineage: Bacteria; Bacillati; Actinomycetota; Actinomycetes; Kitasatosporales; Streptomycetaceae.
GCGACGGGUGAGUACACGUGGGCAAUCUGCCCUUCACUCUGGGACAAGCCCUGGAAACGGGGUCUAAUACCGGAUAACACUCUGUCCCGCAUGGGACGGGGUUAAAAGCUCCGGCGGUGAAGGAUGAGCCCGCGGCCUAUCAGCUUGUUGGUGGGGUAAUGGCCUACCAAGGCGACGACGGGUAGCCGGCCUGAGAGGGCGACCGGCCACACUGGGACUGAGACACGGCCCAGACUCCUACGGGAGGCAGCAGUGGGGAAUAUUGCACAAUGGGCGAAAGCCUGAUGCAGCGACGCCGCGUGAGGGAUGACGGCCUUCGGGUUGUAAACCUCUUUCAGCAGGGAAGAAGCGAAAGUGACGGUACCUGCAGAAGAAGCGCCGGCUAACUACGUGCCAGCACCGGGGGAUUAAUACG